UUAUCAGGGGAGGACAGGUGGUGCAUGGUUGUCGUCAGCUCGUGUCGUGAGAUGUUGGGUUAAAGUCCCGCAACGAGCGCAACCCUUAUUGCUAGUUACCAUCAGUUAAGUUGGGCACUCUAAUGAGACUGCCGGUGACAAGCCGGAGGAAGGUGGGGAUGACGUCAAGUCCUCAUGGCCCUUAUAGGUGGGGCUACACACGUCAUACAAUGGGCUGGUACAAAGGGUGCAACCCGCGAGGGGGAGCCAAUCCCAUAAAGCCAGUCGUAGUCCGGAUCGUAGUCUGCAACUCGACUACGUGAAGUCGGAAUCGCUAGUAAUCGUGGAUCAGAAUGUCACGGUGAAUACGUUCCCGGGUCUU
Molecule: ribosomal RNA, 361 nt
Filed under: uncultured Fusobacteriota bacterium
Lineage: Bacteria; Fusobacteriati; Fusobacteriota
Description: bacterial SSU rRNA
Rfam family: Bacterial small subunit ribosomal RNA
Source: RNAcentral